Molecule: long non-coding RNA, 3074 nt
Filed under: Homo sapiens (human)
Lineage: Eukaryota; Metazoa; Chordata; Mammalia; Primates; Hominidae
Description: non-protein coding lnc-ACP7-1:1
Source: RNAcentral
ACUUGAGUCUAGGAGUUCGAGACCAGCCUGGCCAACACAGUGAAACCCCGUCUCUACUAAAAAUACAAGGCCGGGCGCGGUGGCUCACGCCUGCAGUCCCAGCACUUUGGGAGGCCGAGGCGGGCGGAUCACGCCGUCAGAAGAUCAAGACCAUCCUGGCUAACAAGGUGAAACCCUGUCUCUACUAAAAAUACAAAAAAUUAGCUGGGUGUGGCGGCACGUGCCUGUAGUCCCAGCUACUUGGGAGGCUGAGGCAGGAGAAUGGCUAGAACCCGGGAGGUGGAGUUUGCGGUGAGCCGAGAUCACACCACUGCACUCCAGCCUGGGGGACAGAGUAAAGUGACUUAGAAAACUAGGCUUAUUAAAACUCUGCCUUACAAACUGGGCAGACUAGAUGUCUUGGUAAUAAUUAGAAGAUUAUUAUCAAUAAUCUUCUAAUUAUUAUAAUGAUAAUUAGAAGAUUAUACGGGGGCACUUGCUCUGUGCUAGGCACUGUUCUAAGGGGUUUAUUAUUUAAUCCUUGCAACAACCCUAUAAGGUGCUACUAUUGUUCCCAUUUCACAGAUGGGGAAACCGAGGCACCGUGCGGUUAAAUCACUUGUCUAAGUUAGUCAGUGCUGAAGAUAGAUUUAUAACCAGGCCAUCUAGCCCCAGAGUCGAUGCUCCAUUCCCCACCGCAAGCUUAUACCUGAGCUAUAAGCCCUCAUCCGCCAGUCAGGGUCCAACCAGAGGCAACUCCAGUGGGCUCUUUUCACCUGGGCUGGUGGUUGGGAAUUCAGGAGCUACGUGAACUUGGAUAGGGGAAACUUUUUUUACCUCUCCUUUUACUACACUUUAAUCUAGCAGUUCUCAAAAUGUGGUCUGGGGGCACCUGUGGGUCCGCAAGACCUUUCUCAGGGGCUAGUGAGGUCAAAAGUAUUUUCAUAAUGAUAUUAAGACGUUUGUCCUUUUCAUUCUCCAGAGACUACCUGACCUGUGAUAAUGUCAUCACUCUGAUGGCUAAUAGAAAUAUAUGCAUGUAUAUUCGUGUGUUUUUAAAACUUCUCGUUUUCAGCCAGGUUCAUGCCUGUAGUCCCAGCUACUCGGGAGGCUGAGGCUCGAAAAUCGCAUGAACCCAGGAGGCAGAGGUUGUAAUGAGCCAAGAUCGUGUUACUGUGCUCCAGCCUGGGCAACAGAGUGAAACUCUGUCUCAAAACAAAAACAAAACACACACACACACAAAACCAAAAAACAAACACAAAAACAAAACAACAACAACAAAAAAACCCCCCAACACCUUGUAUCACAAUAGCACUGGUUUCCUUUGUAUUUCUGUGUAUUUAUAUUAUGCAUGUAACGACAUGAUCCUGAGAAGGGCUUGACCAGCUUGCCAUAGGCAUCUUUAGCACAAAAAAGCUUAGGAACCUCCCAUUCUGGACGAACUAAGAAUACGGGGAGGUUAUAAUUGGGGGCCACAGGAGUGGCAGGUACUCAAGUUUGGUUAUGAGAGCUACUUUCAUUAUAUUUUAGGCUGUAAUGGAGACUCUGGAAGUGGGAAGAAAAAAAAAAAAACUCAAACAGUGCAAAGGGCUCGUUUUGAUUUUCCCACACUCCUAGUGCCAAUUUCUGAAAUUGGUGUCCACAAUCAGUAGAAGCCUAUGUGCUCUGAAUUUACAAAGCCAAGUGGUGGCGGGUCAUUGUAUCUGCAGUCAGGAAGGGGAAACGACUGGAAAUCCGGGCCCCCCCAGUUCUUCCCUGCUUCUCUUUUUGUGGCAGCCGCUCCUCACGUUCAAACAGAUUGCAAAGGUUUACAGGGGAGAACCCUAACUUGUUCCCUAGACGUCAGUUUCUGGAGUUCCUGCAUUAAUACGAUUAAAAAGAACAGCUGAUUCUUAUCCAGCCCUUACUCUGGGCCGGGCCCUGUUAUCGGCAUGAAAUUUCAUGCAGCAACUCGUUUACUCCUCACAACAGCCCACGGGGUAUAUACGAGCAUCACCUCCUUUUUACAGGUGAAAAAACCCAAGGUCCAGCGAGGUUGAAUAACUCACCUAGGUCGCACAGCUCAGAAAGCCCACUGCAAUUCCGGGAUUCUGGUUUUGUUUUGAGGUUGCCCCGGGCUUCUGAGGAGGGGUCAGUGGGCUCAGCAUGGAAAGGAAGGAAGCCGGAAGGCUGGAGGAAGAUGCAGCGAGGCUGGAAAGGUUGGGGAUCCCCCGGUCCUGCACACCUGGGUACCUGGGGAUCGGGCAGGGCCAGGAUAGGGGCCGGUGUCCGUGCCCUGGGGCUCCCCAGCUGAUGAGUGGGCGCCUGAGGGACGAGCGCAGGGUUACCUGCCUGGGCUCUCACCUGGUGGCCGGCUCAGAGGUGGCGCGCCGGAGACGUAUCAUAACCUUCCUGGGUCCCCCUUCCCGCGCCACGCCCUGGUGGGGUGGGCGGGUGGGUGUGGGGCGCCCAGGCAGGACCGGCCGGACCUGUGGGACCCGGGGCCCUGGCUGUCUAGGGAGGCUGUCACCCCGAGGCGACCGGCUCUUCCGGGGCUGGGACGGCUGUAGGCGGCAAGAGGCCUCGGCACCCGCGAACUCAUAAAUACCGGGGCGGCGCUGGUGGCGGGAGAGGCGCGUGCGGGCAGCCGGCGCCCCCGAGGGUGAGCCGGGGUCCGGGAGGGCGUCCCCUUUCCCGGAUGGUCCCGACCCGGCUCCAUCCUGGCAGCUGGAGACGGAGCUGGAGCAGGCGGGAAAGCGCUGGAGAGAAGGGGGGUGGGUACAGAUGGGGGAAGGGCAGGGACGCUGGGGAUGGGGAGAGAGGAUGCGGCCGCUCUGGCCAUGAUGGGCUCUAAAGGAUCUGGGGGUGGUGUGGGAGGAUUGGGGUCACUAGGAGCAAAAUAGAAGGCUAAGGAUGGAGUAGGGAGGCGAGGUCCCGGGGGCAGGCGGGAAUGCUUGGAAUCUCGGGAGUAGGUAGGAGAACUGGGGUUUCUAACAGCAGGAUGGAAAGCUGGGGAUGGGGCUGCGGAAUGCAACCUCCUACACAGCCUCCACCCCGCUCCCAGACCCCCAGCACUGAGAGUGAGCUCUGGUUAGGAGCAAGGCUCUGGAAUCAGG